This 361-nucleotide non-coding RNA is filed under the name Pongo abelii (Sumatran orangutan). Lineage: Eukaryota; Metazoa; Chordata; Mammalia; Primates; Hominidae. The record is from RNAcentral.
GGUUGCUGCUCUCCAUGAGCUGUUCCAACUGUGAAGCAAAAGCUUCAUGCAUAAAGGCAUCCCAACACAGUCAAUGACGCACAGGAGAAAGAGGACAGAGAUAAGCUUCUUGCCUGUUCCAGACACUGAGGAUCAGGCAGAGAGAGAGGCUCCUGCCAGGCUGAGCUUUUCCGGAGUGUGGAGAUGAACAGCCGAUGAACAGCCAUCCUGGGUCCUGAGGUGGAAGCCAGGUGUGGAAGAUGGAGGGCAUCGGUUAGGAGUCUAGUCCCUGAUGGUCACGGAGCUGCAGAACCAGCCUGGGCUGCUUCCUGCUGGAUGUCCCUUACUGGAGAGCGAAAUUAACAUUCUUCAGCUACUGUUA